Molecule: non-coding RNA, 856 nt
Organism: Physcomitrium patens
Lineage: Eukaryota; Viridiplantae; Streptophyta; Bryopsida; Funariales; Funariaceae
Source: RefSeq, a predicted model, not a curated record
AAAGGAUUGCAUCUGGAGAACGGGAAGUUGGGUGGGGGAUACUUUUUUCGAAGGUACCGGAGUUGAGAUGCUGUUGAGGUGGAGGGUAGGAUCGUUGUGGGUUUUGGACGACGGCGUCAUAUUCGAAUAGCGAGCUGGUACCCAGUGAAAGUAACCCACAUUGGAAUUGCAUUAGGCUUACACUGGAAAGCUUUUGGCGAUGAGUCUCGGGUGCUUAACAUGCAAUGCCUCGACACAGUCAUUUCGGAUAGAGGAGACAUUUCAACGGUCGUUGUCUACCCACUCUGAAGAAGGCGGCGCUUGUCUAAUAGGAUGCUUUGCACGAAGGCCUAUUCAUCAUCGUGCCCGUGCAGAACCAGUUCACCCUCAGGGAUCUAGGGUUGCUCCAAUUCCUGACGCGGAGAGUGCACCCAGGUUGACCCGGUGUUAUGCGAUUCGCAGAGAUUGUACAUUUUUCAGGGAUUGGUCGUUUAACGAAGUUGAAACAGCCACCCUAGUUGGUUAGAUUCCCAGCUAGAGUAGUUUAAGGAAGACUGGUGUCUAAAACUGCAGGAUGAUGGUAUGGUUUGAGAGUGAUAUGCUGUGCCCCAUUGGAGGCUCUUAUGAGUGGGACACGUUGAGCGCUCUGGGUGAGCCUUGACCGGGAGUUUCUCUUUUCCGUGCGGUGUCCACAGGUAUGCAUUCUGUCCUUGUCAGUGCUUUGGGGCUGGGUUUAUUGUUACACACAACUUACUCCUGGCGGUUUUUGAAGGUAGUGGCAAGCAUCUGGGCACGCUGCCGAGCUCUGCAUUGCAACUGUGUAUCAUAUUUCUUUGUAUUUUACAUAAAGAUGUUGUUUUGAGUUGCUUUUGCAAAA